UACGAAGGGGGCUAGCGUUGCUCGGAAUCACUGGGCGUAAAGGGUGCGUAGGCGGGUCUUUAAGUCAGGGGUGAAAUCCUGGAGCUCAACUCCAGAACUGCCUUUGAUACUGAGGAUCUUGAGUUCGGGAGAGGUGAGUGGAACUGCGAGUGUAGAGGUGAAAUUCGUAGAUAUUCGCAAGAACACCAGUGGCGAAGGCGGCUCACUGGCCCGAUACUGACGCUGAGGCACGAAAGCGUGGGGAAGCCAAACAGGG
This 256-nucleotide ribosomal RNA is filed under the name uncultured bacterium. RNAcentral's name for it is "partial 16S ribosomal RNA". It matches the Rfam family "Bacterial small subunit ribosomal RNA", at positions 524 to 777 of the family's 1533-position model. The record is from RNAcentral.